Molecule: ribosomal RNA, 402 nt
Filed under: uncultured bacterium
Lineage: Bacteria
Description: bacterial SSU rRNA
Rfam family: Bacterial small subunit ribosomal RNA
Source: RNAcentral
GGGAAUUUUCGGCAAUGGGCGAAAGCCUGACCGAGCAACGCCGCGUGAACGAAGAAGGUUUUCGGAUUGUAAACUAUUGUCGUGAGGGAAGAAAUUGACAGUACCUCAGGAGGAAGCUCCGGCUAACUAUGUGCCAGCAGCCGCGGUAAUACGUAGGGAGCAAGCGUUAUCCGGAUUUAUUGGGUGUAAAGGGUGCGUAGACGGAAAAUUAAGUUAGUUGUGAAAUCCCUCGGCUUAACUGAGGAACUGCAACUAAAACUGAUUUUCUUGAGUACUGGAGAGGAAAGUGGAAUUCCUAGUGUAGCGGUGAAAUGCGUAGAUAUUAGGAGGAACACCAGUGGCGAAGGCGACUUUCUGGACAGUAACUGACGUUGAGGCACGAAAGUGUGGGGAGCAAACAGG